ACUAUUUUGGCAGAUAAUAUGUAUAGGGCUUAGGAUCCUAGGAAAUAGAUUAAUUCUAUAAAUAGUA
RNAcentral lists this transfer RNA (67 nucleotides) under Ocypode ceratophthalmus. Its description in RNAcentral is "tRNA-Leu". Lineage: Eukaryota; Metazoa; Arthropoda; Malacostraca; Decapoda; Ocypodidae. The record is from RNAcentral.